UAGUGGCGAACGGGUGAGUAACACGUGGGCAAUCUGCCCUUCACUCUGGGACAAGCCCUGGAAACGGGGUCUAAUACCGGAUAACACUCCUCAGGGCAUCUUGAGGGGUUAAAAGCUCCGGCGGUGAAGGAUGAGCCCGCGGCCUAUCAGCUUGUUGGUGGGGUGAUGGCCUACCAAGGCGACGACGGGUAGCCGGCCUGAGAGGGCGACCGGCCACACUGGGACUGAGACACGGCCCAGACUCCUACGGGAGGCAGCAGUGGGGAAUAUUGCACAAUGGGCGAAAGCCUGAUGCAGCGACGCCGCGUGAGGGAUGACGGCCUUCGGGUUGUAAACCUCUUUCAGCAGGGAAGAAGCGAAAGUGACGGUACCUGCAGAAGAAGCGCCGGCUAACUACGUGCCAGCAGCCGCGGUAAUACGUAGGGCGCAAGCGUUGUCCGGAAUUAUUGGGCGUAAAGAGCUCGUAGGCGGCUUGUCACGUCGGAUGC
This 488-nucleotide ribosomal RNA is filed under the name Streptomyces sp. 313G04. Its description in RNAcentral is "bacterial SSU rRNA". It matches the Rfam family "Bacterial small subunit ribosomal RNA", at positions 93 to 595 of the family's 1533-position model. The record is from RNAcentral. Lineage: Bacteria; Bacillati; Actinomycetota; Actinomycetes; Kitasatosporales; Streptomycetaceae.